UAGAAUUAAUGAGAAUAAAGAUGUGGCUUUUUGUGGUUCUUUCCCCUCUCUUCCUUCCUUUCAUUUCUCUCUUUUUUCUUCUUCUUAUUUUAAAUCUUAAAAACUCCCAAAGAUCAACCAUCCAGAAAAGAACAUAUAAACAGACAAUUAAACAAAUAAGAGAGCUAAAAUUAAAUUCACACAUAGAAACACAACAGUCCAAAGACCAACCUAUGUUCCCCAUAGCUAUACCAA
RNAcentral lists this unclassified non-coding RNA (234 nucleotides) under Hevea brasiliensis (rubber tree). Lineage: Eukaryota; Viridiplantae; Streptophyta; Magnoliopsida; Malpighiales; Euphorbiaceae. The record is from RNAcentral.